Helianthus annuus (common sunflower) is the source of this 436-nucleotide long non-coding RNA. RefSeq lists it as uncharacterized. The record is from RefSeq and is a predicted model, not a curated record. The transcript is spliced from 3 exons. Lineage: Eukaryota; Viridiplantae; Streptophyta; Magnoliopsida; Asterales; Asteraceae.
GUGUGUGUGUGUCGAGAUUUAGGGCAGGAAGAACAACACCCACCUCUUCACUAUCAACUAGAAAUUCAGCCAAUUGAAGGUGAAUAAGAAUCAAAAUCUUGUGCAUGUGAUGAGAUUCAUAACCAUCUAAGAAUUCUCUACAUAAGGGAUUAAGGAAGAAAGCUCAAGUCCUUCCGGAUCGCAAACAAACAACCGUAAAGGUAAAGCAAUUGAUCGAUGGCACUACUUGGACCGAACACACUCUUGAUGCACGCUUCCGCGAAGAUCCUAGUUAUGGUCUAAACUUUUGGUUAAAUGUUUUUGUUUAAAUGGGUCUUUUGUAUGUUAAUGAACCCGGUAGUGGUUAGACGUUAAAUGUGUAGUUAAAGACUUGGUUGGUCUUCAUGAAAUAUUUGGGCUAUAAAUCUUUGUAACUAUUUUCUUAGUUAAUAUGAAG